Molecule: ribosomal RNA, 340 nt
Filed under: Roseomonas sp. SI-30
Lineage: Bacteria; Pseudomonadati; Pseudomonadota; Alphaproteobacteria; Acetobacterales; Roseomonadaceae
Description: bacterial SSU rRNA
Rfam family: Bacterial small subunit ribosomal RNA
Source: RNAcentral
GCGCGGCUUAACAUGCAAGGUCGCACGGGCAGCAAUGUCAGUGGCGGACGGGUUGAGUAACGCGUAGGGAAGUGUCCAGAGGUGGGGGACAACCCCGGGAAACUGGGGCUAAUACCGCAUAUGGCCUGAGGGCCAAAGCAGUGAUGCGCCUUUGGAGUUACCUGCGUCCGAUUAGGUAGUUGGUGGGGUAAAGGCCUACCAAGCCGACGAUCGGUAGCUGGUCUGAGAGGACGACCAGCCACACUGGGACUGAGACACGGCCCAGACUCCUACGGGAGGCAGCAGUGGGGAAUAUUGGACAAUGGGCGCAAGCCUGAUCCACCAAUGCCGCGUGGGUGAA